This is a long non-coding RNA of Hippopotamus amphibius kiboko, 519 nucleotides long. RefSeq lists it as uncharacterized. NCBI's taxonomy places the organism in Eukaryota, Metazoa, Chordata, Mammalia, Artiodactyla, Hippopotamidae. The transcript is spliced from 3 exons. The record is from RefSeq and is a predicted model, not a curated record.
CUGGCUAUCACCUGAGCCAUGCUGAAACCGUGAACCUCAGUUUGGGACUUGAACUCACACGCCGGGACUCACACCCAGCCUAAACCCAGAUUGGGACUCAAACCCAUGAGACCGGAACUCAAACCUGACCAAAACCCGAGAUCUUCCAACUGAGUUCACACACCUCGUUUCAGGACUUAAUGAAGCUCAGGUUUUUGAUGUCUCAUCACAGAACGAAUUCAGUGAAGACAAAGUGAUAGCUAAGUCAUCAAAACAGGGGCCAGUUCUAAUGAAGAGCAUACUUAUGAAGAAAUAUGGAUAACACAAAGAGAAAGGAAAGGCAAGAAAAAAAAUUUGCUAAUGAACUACAAGUGGCCAUAAAAUCUGGAAACAUGGGGCUGCCAAGAUCAAUGUGAUGGGCCAACCCACAGCGCAUUCACUGCUAAUGCAGCGUUUCUACCAUUCCUUGCAAAUGAGUCUGUGAUGCCUUGUCUCAUACAAUUUAUCUUUGAUUUUCAUUUUCACUAAUAAACAUGCAUA